This 514-nucleotide ribosomal RNA is filed under the name uncultured bacterium. RNAcentral's name for it is "bacterial SSU rRNA". It matches the Rfam family "Bacterial small subunit ribosomal RNA", at positions 8 to 526 of the family's 1533-position model. The record is from RNAcentral.
AGAGUUUGAUCAUGGCUCAGAAUCAACGCUGGCGGCGUGCCUAACACAUGCAAGUCGAGCGAGAAAAGGGGAGCAAUCCUCUGAGUAAAGCGGCGCACGGGUGAGUAACACGUGGGUAAUCUGCCCUGGAGUGGGGAAUAACACCGGGAAACCGGUGCUAAUACCGCAUACGAUCACAGAGUCUGCGGAUUUUGUGAUGAAAGGAGCAAUUCGCUCUAGGAGGAGCCCGCGGCUGAUUAGCUAGUUGGUGAGGUAACGGCUCACCAAGGCUACGAUCAGUAUCCGGUCUGAGAGGACGGUCGGACACACUGGAACUGAGACACGGUCCAGACUCCUACGGGAGGCAGCAGUGGGGAAUUUUUGGCAAUGGGGGCAACCCUGACCAAGCAACGCCGCGUGGGUGAUGAAGUCUCUUGGGACGUAAAACCCUUUCGACGGGGACGAAAGCCGCAAGGUUUGACGGUACCCGUAGAAGAAGCCCCGGCUAACUCCGUGCCAGCAGCCGCGGUAAUAC